CUGCGAUCAAAUCCUGACCUCGUCAGCCAGGUCAGCCUUCACCUCUUGGAGGCUGGCUCUGCAUGAGUGACUGUGAGGCCUAAAUAAAAUUAAGUGUAUAGAAGUAUAAUAUCUAGCACAGGCCUGGCCUUACAUAAGGGGCACACUCAGUGUUGCUCCCCUCCCCCUUUCCAGCCUUCAGACCUCACAGCUCUCUCCACUCUUACUAACAGAAACAAGCACAGAGGCCACAGAGCAUUUCCCAGCAAGAAGGUUUGCAAAGAAGGAUGGCAGAAGUCCGCAAAGAAACAAACAGGCCACCCCACUGCUGGUAGAUGGUGCCCAACCUUCAAAACCAGAAGACUAGGAAAAAUACGAGCUCAGCACACUUACACAGUCUCAACUCAGUGCUGGCUGGCCUGGCAUCAAGUCCGCACAGUUGCCGCCAACCACAGUCAAGUUGGUACAGCUGCCAUAGAAAGCUGAAAAUCAGACUGCCACGAGAUCUGCCUGAAAGUUCUCUGUACAUUCCCCCAAGUUUCAUCCACCUGAAAAAUGCCAGUUACCACCACCUAGAACACCUUUAAACAGCUUGGUGGCACUGCCAGAGUAAGAGACACCUAAGGCUUGGGUUUUUCAGAAGGUGAGGAUUCCGUUAGUAAGUUGAUUAGAACUCCCAGAAUUAGCCCAGCAGUGUCAAACAGCCAUGAGAGGCAAUCGGCUUGGUUUUUAAAAAUGGUUUCAGUCUCAUGCUCUAUGUGUUCCAUUCAUUGUGUACAACUUCACUGAAUUAGCAGACAGUCCAGCUUAUGGCUUCCAUGCCUCCACCAAACAAGAUUAGAGAAAAAAACAAAACAAAACAAAACAGAAAUGAAACCACAGGAAGGCAGGCAGGUAUCCAAGUCAUGGGCCCCAGUGUGGAUCAGUUUGGAUGCACUGUGUGCCUACAGGGUCUUGCAGGUGAAAACAGCCUCUGUUACUGAAUCCUUCCACCAAGACUGGAACCUAGACACUCAGAGCAGGCCUUAAACACAAUCUGAGAAUGACAAAGACAAAAUACCAUGGACAUAAGAUAGAAUUGGAGAGAGGGGGUACUUAAAAAGAAAAAAUCAAGACAACCAUUAGCUUUUCUUUAAAAUAGCCCACUCCCUGGUGCACUUCCAGUAGAAUACAGUUGACACUGAAAUCUGUAAGGCUGUGGCACAGGCAAGAAGCGAGGUACCUCUGUGUGUCAGUGGCCAGUCUGCCUAUCUAUCAGCAAAGCUGGAGGAUUCCGGGUCAGGAUGUGCCCUGGACAAGGGAAAGCUGGCCCUAGAGAGACAUUCUAUUGCCAGGCUACAGACCACACUCCAAGCCCAGCUCUCUCAGAAACUGAUGCCAGUGAAGGCAACGUGAGAGACGCAGGCUGUGACAAGAGUGAACUAAGAGGCAGGACACUGCUCCAUCACUUUGGGUCACUGCUGGAGGUCCCCAUUGUCCAUCUCUCCAUUGGCAUCCCUUAGUGUUAAAUAAGACUGGACCAGUGACCCAGCACGGAGCCUCUGAACCCCAAAGAAUGUGCCCAGUAAGCAUGGGCUCACCAUUCCUGUUUUCAUUCUUUUAUUAUUAAUAUUAUCCAGCCGUCAUUGAUUAAGCACCUAUAAUGCCUUCCCUCCCAACUUCAAACACUUGAUAGGAAGGUAAAGUGAGGCAAUUCAGGUGAAGCCCACACAAACACAUAGCUCUUAUCAUUAGCACAGCUAUUAUUGUGAGCUCAAACCCACUCAAAGCCCCUACAGAACUAACUCAACCUGAGUUAAGUGAGCUAAAAUAUCCCAAGAGGGAGUGCCUAUCAGAAGCUUCAUUUCUCAGGACCACGUUUGCUCUUCAAAUGAGAAGCUAGUUGUCUAAAGGAACAAUCUCUCUCUCCAUCUGGCCAGCCAGUGACUUGUCCCUUGUAUGUGUGAAAUGUGCCUUCCCCAACAGGAGGCAUUUUAAGCUUGACGGGGUUUUGUUAAAGUUAAUAUACGUGGGCCCUUUACAAUCCUGGAAACUAAUUAUUGAAUCGCCUCUCUCCUUCUUCAAGUCAUCAGGUGGAAAUGAAAAACGGAGGUAGAAGCAGAGAAAGAAAAAGUGUCGGGGGAGAAUUCUACUUUCCCCACGUCUUCGAGUACAAGAGCUAAUCUAGUCCUACAAACGAAGAUAUACAAGAGGCACAAUUUAAAUAACUUUCCCAGCCUUUAAUUAAGCAAAGUAGAGUGAAAGGAUCAACAGCCUCUGACAUGAAUUUGCAUACCUUUUGCCAAGUUCUGUGUGUGUGGAGGGGGAGUCACAUCUUCCCCAAACUUGUUUCACACUCACUACUCAUUCUCUCCACAGGCCUCAUAAGAGGCACAACCAUUUAAAACAAACAAGAGCUUCUAACCCAACCAUUUGAGAGAGCUAUGUGAUUUUAAAAAGAAAAAAAAAGGUCAACAGCGUUCUGAGUACAUAUCGCAAGCUUUGUUCUACUCGCUUCCCCACUUCCUGUUGCUUCCUCACCUCGUAACUUUUUAUUUUUGAAGCCUAUGCGUUCGCACUGGUAUCACUGUAAGGUUUCAGUGGGAGGCCGUCGGAGAGACCAGGAUGAGGAGGCUCUGUACUGUUCUGAGACAGACAGGACCGUACGAAAGACAGAAAUCACAACCGCCCGGCCCUCAGGAAAGUACAGCCAAAAUUUCACCGCUCCCGUCAACAGUGGGGGUGCUAGGAAAACAGUUGUGGGCGAGCUUUACUUUGUGGGGAGCACACUGUGUGGGCAAUGGUCACUUAACCAUUAGUUAGUACCAAGUGGCUUACAGCUGGGGGCAAGGGGAAAAAACACUUGACACCCACAGACCAAGAAAUACACGAGCCGGCUCUGCAGGUUACUAGGGCCUCUCCAAACACCUGCCCAAGCCCUGCACUCCAGGGAGGGAUCACCACUGGGAAAAGGAACUGAAAGACUGAAAUGCUUUGUGAGUGGGACCCUGUCUUAUCUCCAGCUUAGAACAGAGGUCAGAACAAAAGGGGGACAUGGACACCAUUUGGCCAGACCCUUCCUGUUACAGAGGACACCAGGACCAAGAGCUGUUAUCACAAAGCUAAUUUACUCACAGGAGACCAGGUAUUGGAUCCCAGUUCUCCCAUCUCCCAGAACAGGGCUUUUCGAGAUCUUCUCAAACGAACAUGGAGCAGGUGCUCAAUAAAUGUUGGCUCAGCUACACUGGACUGCAAUGCAUGGUGGGUGGAGAGUGCAACCCUAAAAUACUUUUUGUCUGAUACCAGGAGGUCCCAUCUUCCAGAAGAUGUUUUGGGGGUUAGAGUAGCCUGUCCUCAUAAUCUACUCUGGCUCUUAAAUGCCUAGGGUUAAGGACUGCCCUUCAACAGGUCCCUAAGCUAGACUGUUGCACCCAUCUGCCAUUAUUUCCCAGCCGGGGGGAACAAUUCUGGGAGACAGGGUGAUAUUGCACAAGUCACAGGGCAGGGAAUGAAAAGCUGGGCUCCAGCCUCUGGUGAACAGUCUCAGCAGAUGGCCUCAGGGAGUCCUCCUGCCCACACCCACCACCCCCAUGCCUUCCUGCAUCCACGUGUACCCUUUGAACACGAUCUCUAAGAAGCUGCUGGUCCUGUGGGCCUCGGAUCCUAAGAGCCUAUACUCUCCCAUCUGCUGGCCACCACAGAGCUCAUUCUUCUGCCCCCACCUUCACCCUCAGCCUUCCCGCCUACUCUACCUGCCUAGAACAUCUGUGGGCCCUCAGAACAUGGAGCAGUGGGCUGGAGGGUUCUAUGUACAUUUCUACCUAAUUUGAGUUUACCAUGAGCUCUCGAUGUGUCUUCUGGAAUCCUCCCCACAGAGUAAAGCUUUGCUCCCAAAAUAAAAUAAAACUUAAAAUGUGAUGAAGGCCUGUAUGUGCCAGGUGCUUGGCCAGGGUCAGGCUGGGCUGUGUCUCAGGAACUGGGAGAAAGACAUCCAGAGUUGGAAUCCAAACAGCUGAAGCCCAGCUUCACCCCAUCAGCCUCUAUCUCCUUCCCAUGACUGAUUUUCUUCGCAGACCUCAUCGACACCUGACAUUGUAGUAGAUGUGUACACGUAUACUUAUUAUCUGUCUUGCUCAUUGGAAGGAAUGCUCCAUGAGGGCAGGGGCUGGCUUUGUCUAUCCUGGCAGCCAGGGCAGCACCUGGCACAUGGCAGGGGUGUGAUGCCUGCUAAAUGAAUGAAGAAAUGAAUGAGUGAAUGAAUAAGCAGUUGAUCCUGGAUGUGCCUCAAUCAUGACCAAGUCACUUAACAUCUUUAAGUUUCCUUAUUUAUAAAAUGAGGAUAAUAAUCAUGUAUUCUUUAUGUGACUGGAGUGAUCAUUAAACAAGAAAAUGAUCAUAAGAGCAUUUAGGACGUACCUGGGACACAGCAAACCAACGAUAAACGUUAGCUAUUACUUGUUAGCCAUUAUUAUUAUAGUCACUGAUGGAAACAGAGAGAAAUAAAGCCUCUUUAUUAUACCCUGGGCAGUUUUUAGGCUAACUAACUGAAAUUCUGUGUGUGUAAGACCUAUCCAGAAAGGAUCAUUAAGAGAGGCCUGAGCCAUGGGCCUGCAUAGAUACUAUGGGUCCCUCAGAGCAUCAGUCUUAGCAGAAAAUCUUUUCAUGUCCCUGAAAGUGAUAAGCUCAUUUGCACAAAGGUUGCUUUAUGGGUCUCUGAUAGCCAUCAUCCCAGCAAUUAAAGUCUUCAAAUACCUAAUUCCUGCCCUCAAGAGCUUACAGUCCAGCUGGGGGAAAUGAGACAUUAACAUAUGAAAGGUGACCUAUAAAUUCAAACUCAAGACAACAUAUGUCAAAUGUCAAAUGAGUACACUGGAGAUGAAGUCCUGAGAAACGCUGGUAAGGCGAAUGUUUAACAAGCAGCACACACACACAUACACACACAUACACACACACACACACACACACACACAGCAGUUGUCAAUUUCCAUGGUAUAAAUACUCCCACUAUGGCGUUUCAAGCUGCCGACGCGAGGGCCACUGGACAUGGAGUUGGGAAGAGACAUGCACAGUUAACUCCCACGAGCUGGUGCGAGCCAGCUUCCACACGCAUCACCGAUCUAGGUCCUAUUGUCAAUAAUCUCUCAAACAGGUCAAGGGCUGUGGGCCAAGUGGUCAGUGCUAACAACCAGCAUCUUUGUAGUACUUCAGGUUACAAAGCACAUCAGAGGUCAUUACUGUAUUUCAUCCUCACCACCUGGCCAGAAAGGCAUUCCUGCCUUCAUUUUGCAGAUAAAUAAACUGGGUUUCAAAAAAGUACCACAAAUUUUUCACUGUCAUUCUGCAAGUGAGUGACAUUGUCAGGGCUUGAACCAGUAUCUUCUGGGGCAGCCAAGGCCUCUCAUCAUCCCCUCUGCCCCUGAGAAGGAGGGCUUCUCAGAGAAGUGGUUGAAGGACGAUGAGAAGUAAGUAAAGGUCAGAACAGAGAUUCAGGAGAGGUACAGCACUUAAGCAGAUGGUGAAUUCCCUGCAGAGUGCAAAGGUCACGGGAGUGUGCAAGGCCUGGCAAAACCUGAAACUAAUGCAACCAUUUAGUUCAGUGUGCUUCACCAGAGAAUUUCUUUCCUAAAACAGUGACCUAGCUAUUAAAAUCUGCAUUCCCAAAUCCGCUGCAGCAUUAGGUGAAUGAGCAAAAGAAAUGGAAGGCAAUUUAGAUGACUAAAUAUAGGGGAGCUGGUUAAAUAAGUUAUAGAACUUCCGCAUAAUAGAAUGCUGUGCCACCACAGAAAGUCAGGUUUUAAAAGAGCAGUGUACAACUAGGAAAUCCUCACAAUAGAGUUUUUAAAGCACAUUACAUAACAAUAUGUGCAAUAUGAUUCCAGUUCUGUAAAAAUGAACAAGCAGGCAAACUCUCCAAUGUAUAUAUGCAGGAAAAAAAAAAAAAAAAAGACUGGGAUGUAAACUUCCAAAUCCUCACACUGGUUUCUUCCAGAAAGAUGGAUGUUUUUAUUUUCUUCUCUAUG
Molecule: long non-coding RNA, 5978 nt
Filed under: Homo sapiens (human)
Lineage: Eukaryota; Metazoa; Chordata; Mammalia; Primates; Hominidae
Description: HSALNT0106224
Source: RNAcentral